RNAcentral lists this microRNA (27 nucleotides) under Macaca mulatta (Rhesus monkey). RNAcentral's name for it is "mml-miR-7175-5p". Lineage: Eukaryota; Metazoa; Chordata; Mammalia; Primates; Cercopithecidae. The record is from miRBase by way of RNAcentral.
AGGACAUGUGGGUUAGGCAGAAGUAGA